CUGCUGCCUCCCGUAGGAGUCUGGUCCGUGUCUCAGUACCAGUGUGGGGGACCUUCCUCUCAGAACCCCUACGCAUCGUCGUCUUGGUGGUCCGUUACACCGCCAACUAACUAAUGCGACGCAUGCCCAUCCGCCACCGGAAUCAACCUUUGGCACCAACAGGAUGUCCCGUCGAUGCAUUAUGCCGUAUUAGACGGAAUUUCUCCCGAUUAUCCGGCUGUGGCAGGCAGGUUGCAUACGUGUUACUCACCCGUG
Molecule: ribosomal RNA, 255 nt
Filed under: uncultured bacterium
Lineage: Bacteria
Description: partial 16S ribosomal RNA
Source: RNAcentral